AGUGAACGCUGGCGGUAGGCCUAACACAUGCAAGUCGAACGGCAGCACAGUAAGAGCUUGCUCUUACGGGUGGCGAGUGGCGGACGGGUGAGGAAUACAUCGGAAUCUACUUUUUCGUGGGGGAUAACGUAGGGAAACUUACGCUAAUACCGCAUACGACCUACGGGUGAAAGCAGGGGAUCUUCGGACCUUGUGCGAUUGAAUGAGCCGAUGUCGGAUUAGCUAGUUGGCGGGGUAAAGGCCCACCAAGGCGACGAUCCGUAGCUGGUCUGAGAGGAUGAUCAGCCACACUGGAACUGAGGCACGGUCCAGACUCCUACGGGAGGCAGCAGUGGGGAAUAUUGGGCAAUGGGCGCAAGCCUGAUCCAGCCAUACCGCGUGGGUGAAGAAGGCCUUCGGGUUGUAAAGCCCUUUUGUUGGGAAAGAAAAGCAGCAGGUUAAUACCCCGCUGUUCUGACGGUACCCAAAGAAUAAGCACCGGCUAACUUCGUG
Molecule: ribosomal RNA, 492 nt
Filed under: uncultured bacterium
Lineage: Bacteria
Description: partial 16S ribosomal RNA
Rfam family: Bacterial small subunit ribosomal RNA
Source: RNAcentral